AUACGUAGGGGGCGAGCGUUGUCCGGAAUGAUUGGGUGUAAAGGGUACGCAGGCGGCCUAUUAAGUUUGACGUGAAAGCCCGGGGCUUAACCCCGGCAAGCGUUGAAAACUGGUAGGCUUGAAUAGUGGAAGAGACAGUGGAAUUCCUAGUGUAGCGGUGAAAUGCGUAGAGAUUAGGAAGAAUACCGAUGGCGAAAGCAACUGUCUGGACACAUAUUGACGCUGAGGUACGAAAGCGUGGGGAGCAAACAGGAUUAGAUACCCUGGUAGUCCACGCCGUAAACGCUGAGUGCUAGGUGUUGGGGGUCAAACCUCGGUGCCGACGUUAACACAUUAAGCACUCCACCUGGGGAGUACGCACGCAAGUGUGAA
This 372-nucleotide ribosomal RNA is filed under the name uncultured bacterium. RNAcentral's name for it is "bacterial SSU rRNA". It matches the Rfam family "Bacterial small subunit ribosomal RNA", at positions 523 to 898 of the family's 1533-position model. The record is from RNAcentral.